GGACACCGCCCUUUCACGGCGGUAACAGGGGUUCGAAUCCCCUAGGGGACGCCAAUAUGACUGACGGUGGGUGAAAA
RNAcentral lists this ribosomal RNA (77 nucleotides) under Dickeya dadantii. RNAcentral's name for it is "partial 16S ribosomal RNA". The stretch from base 1 to 51 matches the Rfam family "tRNA", at positions 21 to 71 of the family's 71-position model. Rfam says of the family: Transfer RNA (tRNA) molecules are approximately 80 nucleotides in length. Their secondary structure includes four short double-helical elements and three loops (D, anti-codon, and T loops). Further hydrogen bonds mediate the characteristic L-shaped molecular structure. tRNAs have two regions of fundamental functional importance: the anti-codon, which is responsible for specific mRNA codon recognition, and the 3' end, to which the tRNAs corresponding amino acid is attached (by aminoacyl-tRNA synthetases). tRNAs cope with the degeneracy of the genetic code in two manners: having more than one tRNA (with a specific anti-codon) for a particular amino acid; and 'wobble' base-pairing, i.e. permitting non-standard base-pairing at the 3rd anti-codon position. Lineage: Bacteria; Pseudomonadati; Pseudomonadota; Gammaproteobacteria; Enterobacterales; Pectobacteriaceae. The record is from RNAcentral.